UAGGGAAUCUUCGGCAAUGGGGGCAACCCUGACCGAGCAACGCCGCGUGAGUGAAGAAGGUUUUCGGAUCGUAAAGCUCUGUUGUAAGAGAAGAACGUGUGUGAGAGUGGAAAGUUCACACAGUGACGGUAACUUACCAGAAAGGGACGGCUAACUACGUGCCAGCAGCCGCGGUAAUACGUAGGUCCCGAGCGUUGUCCGGAUUUAUUGGGCGUAAAGCGAGCGCAGGCGGUUUAAUAAGUCUGAAGUUAAAGGCAGUGGCUUAACCAUUGUUCGCUUUGGAAACUGUUAAACUUGAGUGCAGAAGGGGAGAGCGGAAUUCCAUGUGUAGCGGUGAAAUGCGUAGAUAUAUGGAGGAACACCGGUGGCGAAAGCGGCUCUCUGGUCUGUAACUGACGCUGAGGCUCGAAAGCGUGGGGAGCAAACAGG
Molecule: ribosomal RNA, 429 nt
Filed under: bacterium
Lineage: Bacteria
Description: partial 16S ribosomal RNA
Rfam family: Bacterial small subunit ribosomal RNA
Source: RNAcentral